GACGAACUCUGGCGGCGUGCCUAAUACAUGCAAGUAGAACGCUGAGGACUGGUGCUUGCACUGGUCUAAGGAAUUGCGAACGGGUGAGUAACGCGUAGGUAACCUACCUCAUAGCGGGGGAGUAACUAUUGGAACGAUAGCUAAUACCGCAUGACAAUAGGGUACGACAUGUACCCUACUUUAAAAGGGGUACGAAAUAGCUUCACUAUGAGAUGGACCUGCGUUGUAUUAGCUAGUUGGUAAGGUAACGGCUUACCAAGGCGACGAUGCAUAGCCGAGUUGAGAGACUGAUCGGCCACAUUGGGACUGAGACACGGCCCAA
This 322-nucleotide ribosomal RNA is filed under the name uncultured bacterium. Its description in RNAcentral is "bacterial SSU rRNA". It matches the Rfam family "Bacterial small subunit ribosomal RNA", at positions 28 to 334 of the family's 1533-position model. The record is from RNAcentral.